This 433-nucleotide ribosomal RNA is filed under the name uncultured bacterium. Its description in RNAcentral is "partial 16S ribosomal RNA". It matches the Rfam family "Bacterial small subunit ribosomal RNA", at positions 29 to 507 of the family's 1533-position model. The record is from RNAcentral.
AACGAACGCUGGCGGCAUGCCUAACACAUGCAAGUCGAACGAGCCCUUCGGGUCUAGUGGCGCACGGGUGCGUAACGCGUGGGAACCUGCCCUUAGGUUCGGAAUAACUCCCCGACAGGGGUGCUAAUACCGGAUAAUGUCUUCGGACCAAAGAUUUAUCGCCUUUGGAUGGGCCCGCGUUGGAUUAGCUAGUUGGUAGGGUAAAAGCCUACCAAGGCGACGAUCCAUAGCUGGUCUGAGAGGAUGAUCAGCCACACUGGGACUGAGACACGGCCCAGACUCCUACGGGAGGCAGCAGUGGGGAAUAUUGGACAAUGGGCGAAAGCCUGAUCCAGCAAGGCCGCGUGAGUGAUGAAGGCCUGAGGGUUGUAAAGCUCUUUUACCCGGGAUGAUAAUGACAGUACCGGGAGAAUAAGCGCCGGCUAACUCCGUG